UACCGUCGUCCAGGCCUCCGUCAGAGC
RNAcentral lists this small RNA (27 nucleotides) under Bombyx mori (domestic silkworm). RNAcentral's name for it is "ovarian small RNA-20781". Lineage: Eukaryota; Metazoa; Arthropoda; Insecta; Lepidoptera; Bombycidae. The record is from RNAcentral.